RNAcentral lists this transfer RNA (69 nucleotides) under Marmota monax (woodchuck). RNAcentral's name for it is "tRNA.Val". It matches the Rfam family "tRNA". From Rfam's summary of the family: Transfer RNA (tRNA) molecules are approximately 80 nucleotides in length. Their secondary structure includes four short double-helical elements and three loops (D, anti-codon, and T loops). Further hydrogen bonds mediate the characteristic L-shaped molecular structure. tRNAs have two regions of fundamental functional importance: the anti-codon, which is responsible for specific mRNA codon recognition, and the 3' end, to which the tRNAs corresponding amino acid is attached (by aminoacyl-tRNA synthetases). tRNAs cope with the degeneracy of the genetic code in two manners: having more than one tRNA (with a specific anti-codon) for a particular amino acid; and 'wobble' base-pairing, i.e. permitting non-standard base-pairing at the 3rd anti-codon position. Lineage: Eukaryota; Metazoa; Chordata; Mammalia; Rodentia; Sciuridae. The record is from RNAcentral.
GGGGUUGUGGCUCAGUGGUAGAGCGCUCGCCUAACGUGUGAGGCACUGGGUUCUAUCCUCAGCACCACA